AAGCGGCAACAGCUCAAAUUUGAAAUCUGGCGUCUUCGGCGUCCGAGUUGUAAUUUGCAGAGGGCGCUUUGGCAUUGGCAGCGGUCCAAGUUCCUUGGAACAGGACGUCACAGAGGGUGAGAAUCCCGUACGUGGUCGCUAGCCUUUACCGUGUAAAGCCCCUUCGACGAGUCGAGUUGUUUGGGAAUGCAGCUCUAAAUGGGAGGUAAAUUUCUUCUAAAGCUAAAUACUGGCCAGAGACCGAUAGCGCACAAGUAGAGUGAUCGAAAGAUGAAAAGCACUUUGGAAAGAGAGUUAAAAAGCACGUGAAAUUGUUGAAAGGGAAGCGCUUGCAGCCAGACUUGCCUGUAGUUGCUCAUCCGGGUUUCUACCCGGUGCACUCUUCUACGGGCAGGCCAGCAUCAGUUUGGGCGGUUGGAUAAAGGUCUCUGUCAUGUACCUCUCUUCGGGGAGAACUUAUAGGGGAGACGACAUGCAACCAGCCUGGACUGAGGUCCGCGCAUCUGCUAGGAUGCUGGCGUAAUGGCUGUAAGCGGCCCGUCUUGAAACACGGACCAAGGAGUCUAACAUCUAUGCGAGUGUUUGGGUGUCAAGCCGAGCGCGUAAUGAAAGUGAACGGAGGUGGGAACCUUUCGGGGUGCACCAUCGACCGAUCCUGAUGUCUUCGGAUGGAUUUGAGUAAGAGCAUAGCUGUUGGGACCCGAAAGAUGGUGAACUAUGCUUGAAUAGGGUGAAG
RNAcentral lists this ribosomal RNA (736 nucleotides) under Didymella americana. Its description in RNAcentral is "partial large subunit ribosomal RNA". It matches the Rfam family "Eukaryotic large subunit ribosomal RNA", at positions 96 to 851 of the family's 3401-position model. The record is from RNAcentral. Lineage: Eukaryota; Fungi; Ascomycota; Dothideomycetes; Pleosporales; Didymellaceae.